Molecule: ribosomal RNA, 500 nt
Filed under: uncultured bacterium
Lineage: Bacteria
Description: bacterial SSU rRNA
Rfam family: Bacterial small subunit ribosomal RNA
Source: RNAcentral
GAUGAACGCUAGCGGCAGGCCUAACACAUGCAAGUCGAGGGGUAGAACACUUCGGUGUUUGAGACCGGCGCACGGGUGCGUAACGCGUAUGCAAUCUACCUUGUACAGGGGAAUAGCCCAGAGAAAUUUGGAUUAAUGCCCCAUAGUAUAUAACCUUCGCAUGUUGGUUAUAUUAAAGUUCCAACGGUACAAGAUGAGCAUGCGUCCCAUUAGUUAGUUGGUAAGGUAACGGCUUACCAAGACGAUGAUGGGUAGGGGUCCUGAGAGGGAGAUCCCCCACACUGGUACUGAGACACGGACCAGACUCCUACGGGAGGCAGCAGUGAGGAAUAUUGGUCAAUGGUCGCAAGACUGAACCAGCCAUGCCGCGUGCAGGAAGACGGUCCUAUGGAUUGUAAACUGCUUUUAUACAGGAAGAAACCCUCCAACGUUGGGAGCUUGACGGUACUGUAGGAAUAAGGAUCGGCUAACCCGUGCCAGCAGCCGCGUAAUCAUACUCG